This is a long non-coding RNA of Patella vulgata (common limpet), 2307 nucleotides long. RefSeq lists it as uncharacterized. The record is from RefSeq and is a predicted model, not a curated record. The transcript is spliced from 6 exons. Lineage: Eukaryota; Metazoa; Mollusca; Gastropoda; Patellidae.
CUUGAAACCAAUGACGAUAUAGUGUAGGCUUAUUAGUAUAUAGGACAAUAUUAGAUCAGUAUAAAGGAACUUUAUUAGCGUUUAAGUCCCAAGAGCUGAGCUAUACAUCUAUAUAACGCACAUGCAACAAAAUGGAUCAACAGAUUUUAGUAAAUCAGAUAGUAUCCAUCAAUCAAGGUAAAACAAUCAAGGAAAUCGUAACAGAUACCAAGAUGGAGAACAACAGAACGAUGAAAGAUCAGGAUUGUGGUUUUGAAGUAGGCGAUGAGGAAGGGCAGGAAUUACAGUCUGAAAAGGAAAUACCGGAGCAGAAGCUAAAACAGAUAACGGAAAAAUUAAGUGCUCUUCAAUAUGUUGAUUCUGACUCAUUUAAAACCAAUGAUCACAACAGUCAAAAUGAAUCCAUCAUGGACGGUAAGGUUGACCAAUCAUUCCAAGUAAACAGAGACCAGGUCAACAAUAACAUCACAUUAAAUAGAGAAUUAAUCUCAAGUGACAAGGACACGAAGAUAUGCCCAAUACCAACAGAGACGGAUAGCAAUAUAAUUAAAGAUGUGGAUAGCAAAACAGCUGUGGAUAACAAGCCAAUUGAAGAGGAAGUGGCGUCUAACCAAUCUUCACAUGAUAACAAUUUAAAAACAGUAUAUUCAAAAGAUAAAGUGGAAGAAGAAGAAACUAUAGAAGCGAUUAUACCUGUUGAUCACCAAAGAGGGUUGAUACCUAAAGAUGAUAGAUGGAAACUGCAAAGACACACGGAUUAUCUUGUAAAUGAACUUGAUGCCAUAGAACUUAUAAAUAAACUGUAUUCCCAGUUUGUUUUCGACGACGAUGAAUAUGAAUCAUUAUUGAAUAGAUUAGAGACCAAAGGAAGAUACAAAUGUGUUAUGAAUAUGUUGAUUAUUUUACGCAGAAAAGGACCACAUGCAUACAUUCAAUUCCUGGUGGCUCUAGAACGAUGUGGCUAUACCUGGAUUAUAAAGACUUUAUAACCUGAAUGUGGUAUCUAUAAAGGAAAGAUCAAGUACAGUGGACAGAAGUUUUAUGAAUUAAUAGACAACACCAGUCCUAAAUAUAAAGAAUUUGUAAAAAGAUGUGAAAAUAAUAUUGAACAGGUUUACCAGGACAAACCAGGACAACAAUUUGUGGUUGUAAAGAAAUUAGAGAAAGGAUGUGUUGAAGUAACUUUUCAUCUCAUAUCACUCGGUUCAAAUGAUGAGGAGGGAUUGCGAAGCUGUCUUCAAGAUGUCGUACAAAGUGGUUUCAUUGAUUCUGAUCCAGUUAAAUCUGACGCAUUUACAUUUCAUCGUAUCACAGAUGGGGAAUUCAGCAAUGAAAGACAAUCGAUGAAAGAAAAACGGGUAAAAGACCUUGAGAAUGAAAUACGAACCUUGAAAUUAGAAAUCAUUGACCUAAAGGUAGAAAAUGGUGCAUUGAAAUCUGAGUCGGUUCAUUCUACGGAAAUUCAGACAUUCAAAGAACACGAAGCUAACAAAUAUAAAGAAAAACUUCAAGAACUGGAAUCAGAGAAAGAACUGGUUAUUUGGAACUUACGAGAACAACUGGACCACCAGAAACAAGAUAACGACAAAUUACAAGCAGACCUGGACAGAUUACAACAAAACCUUACCAGAUUAAAAGUUAAAGUCAAAUUACAGCGGAGUCGGGGCAGACCACAUUCUGACUGUGUAACACGUUUACCAGAUACAGUCAAAUUACAACAAGGCCUGGGUAGAUCACAUUCUGACUGUACAACACGUUUACAAGAUAAAGUCAAAUUACAACAGAGUCUGGGCCUUUUACUGCCUGAUCGUGAAACACUUCUACGUGUACAGGGCCUCGACAAAUUACAGUCUGACAAUGAUACAUAUACAAGAAAAUUAACCAAAUCACAGCUUUACUAUGACAAACGUCAACAUGGUCGAUCCUGUAUAAUUAGUUGAAGAGAUUAAAAAGGCUUACAUUGACACAUUUGGACGAUGGGUGACACCCAAUGUCGUGUAAUUAAUAGUUAUGACGUAAUGUAACACUAGUGUAACUAAUUUACUAACUUUUGACCUCGAAUAAAGUAUUACGCUCAAAGGGGAGAUAAUUACAGCUUUAUUUUUAUUCAAUGAAGAGUCUCGAGACAACACUAGUGUUACCUGAAACAAAUUCAAUCAUGGCUUCCGCUUAUCCUGCUUCGAUAAUUCCUUGGCUUAUUUCUAAAGAAUUGGUCUGUUUGUGUGAAUAUUGAAAGACUUUUUCAAAUUGAAUAACCAAAUUACAUAAUUGAUCUAUGGACAUUUAUUUCAUCUCAUUACACCUGUA